This 1181-nucleotide long non-coding RNA is filed under the name Cyanistes caeruleus (blue tit). RNAcentral describes it as "lncRNA (ENSCCEG00000000887.1)". Lineage: Eukaryota; Metazoa; Chordata; Aves; Passeriformes; Paridae. The record is from RNAcentral.
CUUUGGUCUUGAAUUCACCAUUUCCCCCUCUAGCUGUUUCCAUCAGUGCCCAAGGGUUUGUUUCCCUUUCCUUCUUCCAUUCUGCCAUUUUAAACAUUUCUCCUGUGUUUUUGUGGGAAUUCUGGGAAGCCCUCAGGUUGUCUGAUAAAUGCUGUCCAGUAAAUAUAUUCUCUUGCCUUCUGCGAUGCAAAAUUACUUUCCUGCUUGUCUUCCCAUCGAAGAAAUGCCUCUGCAGUGGGUUUGGAUGGCAAAUCUCACCUGGAAACUGUUGCUAAGUGAAACUUACUUUUGUUGAUGAAUAGUUUUUCUUGGAGCAUCUAUCAGUGGACAAAUAUCAAAAUCAAUGACUGAACAUCAGAUGAAGCAUCCGUGGAGGGAGGACAGAUUGUAUUAAUAUGGAUGCCAUGCAUGAGAAGAAUAUUAGAGAAUAAUGAAGGUAAAUACAGAAACAACUGAGGUGGUCACAGGUUUGUGGUCUCAUGGGUUUAUUUUCACUGUGCAUAAAAACAUGAAAACUCUGUUUUCAGUCCUGCCUGGUAAGAUAUCAUAGAAGAUGGAGGUGUGAAGAGCUUAGUGUGGAAAUGGAAUCAAGAGCAGUGUCCAGCUGUCCUGAACAUUAGUACUGACCCUUAAAUUAAGAUAUUGAUUCAGCACAUGAACUUAGCAGUGUGGCACUGCAGCUGCUGGAGUUGGAGUUCAAAACACAUCCCCCCUUACAGGACACCUGGCCUGGGCUGUUUUUUUCUGCUUGCACAGUCUCUAAGUUUGGAAGCAAUACUGCAGUGACUUAGGACAGACAGGCUAGGGACACAGCCCAAAUCUGUGCCAGGGGAAGCUCAGGCUGGAUAGAAGGAAUAAUAUUUUCAUUAAAAGGGAUGUUAAAUACUGGAAUGAAUGGCCCAGGGAGGUGACAAAUUUGCCAGCCCUAGAAGGGCUGAAGGAACAAGAGGAAAUCUCACCUAGUGCUGUGGGCUGGUUGAUGUGGUGGUGAUCUGCCAGAGGCUGAGCUCAAUGACCUCGGAGGCCUUUUCCAACCUUAGUGAUUCUGGGAUUCUGUGACAGUGAUCACUGUAGGGAUAUAAUGCCCUCCUUUCAGGCAUUGUUAACAUUUAUUCAGUGUUUAAAAUACUUUUUCUGUUUGUCUACAGAAUAAUAAAUCAGUGCUGAGCAGUGUUUGUUCA